GGCCCGCUGGCCAAAUGGUAAGGCGCCAGAUUUCGGUUCAUGUUCUCUGGAGAUUGUGCGUUCGAGCCGCACGUGGGUCG
Cercophora scortea is the source of this 80-nucleotide non-coding RNA. The record is from the annotation of a GenBank genome assembly. NCBI's taxonomy places the organism in Eukaryota, Fungi, Ascomycota, Sordariomycetes, Sordariales, Lasiosphaeriaceae.